UGAGAGACAAGCUCAAAUAUUCUCCGAGGAGUGCAAAUUUUUCCCUGAUGAUAUAUAAAUUCAGUCCGUAUAUCCAUUGCCUGAUGUUUCUGAAUUGGAAAAAAAACUUUCUGAACAAUCAAAGAUACUCUUAAGUCUUCAACAGAAGGUUGACGAUUUGGCAUCAAAGUGUUAGAGUUAGAAAUGGCAGCGAGACAAAUGGAAGAGAUACAGAGGAAGCUGGUGAUGCUGAAUUGAUCGAGAG
Prunus mume (Japanese apricot) is the source of this 244-nucleotide long non-coding RNA. RefSeq lists it as uncharacterized. The record is from RefSeq and is a predicted model, not a curated record. NCBI's taxonomy places the organism in Eukaryota, Viridiplantae, Streptophyta, Magnoliopsida, Rosales, Rosaceae.